GAUGAACGCUGGCUACAGGCUUAACACAUGCAAGUCGAGGGGAAACGACGGGGAAGCUUGCUUCCCCGGGCGUCGACCGGCGCACGGGUGAGUAACGCGUAUCCAACCUGCCUCUGACUGAGGGAUAACCCGUCGAAAGUCGGCCUAAUACCUCAUGGCAUCGUCUGCGGGCAUCCAACGACGAUUAAAGAUUUCAUCGGUCAGGGAUGGGGAUGCGCCUGAUUAGCUUGUUGGCGGGGUAACGGCCCACCAAGGCUACGAUCAGUAGGGGUUCUGAGAGGAAGGUCCCCCACAUUGGAACUGAGACACGGUCCAAACUCCUACGGGAGGCAGCAGUGAGGAAUAUUGGUCAAUGGGCGGGAGCCUGAACCAGCCAAGUAGCGUGCAGGAUGACGGCCCUAUGGGUUGUAAACUGCUUUUAUGCGGGGAUAAAGUGAGGGACGUGUCCUUCAUUGCAGGUACCGCAUGAAUAAGGACCGGCUAAUUCCGU
RNAcentral lists this ribosomal RNA (490 nucleotides) under uncultured bacterium. RNAcentral describes it as "partial 16S ribosomal RNA". It matches the Rfam family "Bacterial small subunit ribosomal RNA", at positions 28 to 506 of the family's 1533-position model. The record is from RNAcentral.